GAUGAACGCUGGCGGCGCGCCUAACACAUGCAAGUCGAACGAUUAAAGCACCUUCGGGUGUGUAUAAAGUGGCGAACGGCUGAGUAACGCGUGGGCAACCUGCCCCUUUCAUUGGGAUAGCCACGGGAAACCGUGGAUAAUACCGAAUACUUCGAGACUUCCGCAUGGAAGACUCGAGAAAGCUCCGGCGGAGAGGGAUGGGCCCGCGGCCUGUUAGCUUGUUGGUGGGGUAACGGCCUACCAAGGCAAUGAUGGGUAGCUGGGUUGAGAGACCGACCAGCCAGAUUGGGACUGAGACACGGCCCAGACUCCUACGGGAGGCAGCAGUGGGGAAUCUUGCACAAUGGGCGAAAGCCUGAUGCAGCGACGCCGCGUGCGGGAUGAAGGCCUUCGGGUUGUAAACCGCUUUCAGCAGGGACGAGGCGAAAGUGACGGUACCUGCAGAAGAAGCCCCGGCUAACUACGUG
RNAcentral lists this ribosomal RNA (467 nucleotides) under uncultured bacterium. RNAcentral's name for it is "partial 16S ribosomal RNA". It matches the Rfam family "Bacterial small subunit ribosomal RNA", at positions 28 to 507 of the family's 1533-position model. The record is from RNAcentral.